GAUGAAGAACGCAGCGAAAUGCGAUAAGUAGUGUGAAUUGCAGAAUUCAGUGAAUCAUCGAAUCUUUGAACGCACAUUGCGCCCCUUGGUAUCCCGAGGGGCAUGCCUGUUCGAGCGUCAUUUCACCACUCAAGCCUUGCUUGGUGUUGGGCGACGUCCUCUUUGGGGACGCGCCUCGAAACGCUCGGCGGCGUGGCACCGGCUUUAAGCGUAGCAGAAUCUUUCGCUUUGGAAGUCGGGGCCCCGUCUGCCGGAAGACCUGCUCGCAAGGUUGACCUCGGAUCAGGCAGGGAUACCCGCUGAACUUAAGCAUAUCAAUAAGCGGAGGA
This 329-nucleotide unclassified non-coding RNA is filed under the name soil metagenome. RNAcentral describes it as "partial contains 5.8S ribosomal RNA, internal transcribed spacer 2, and large subunit ribosomal RNA". The stretch from base 1 to 120 matches the Rfam family "5.8S ribosomal RNA", at positions 35 to 154 of the family's 154-position model. The record is from RNAcentral.